This 1063-nucleotide long non-coding RNA is filed under the name Nannospalax galili (Upper Galilee mountains blind mole rat). RNAcentral describes it as "lncRNA (ENSNGAG00000024515.1)". Lineage: Eukaryota; Metazoa; Chordata; Mammalia; Rodentia; Spalacidae. The record is from RNAcentral.
UUCAGGCUAUUAAGACGGAGCCUUUGGAGCUUUUACAUUCUUAAUAAUGUUCAGCAUGCACAGCAUCAAGCAUCACUUACGGUCAGUGGAAAUCCAGGCAGGAGACUCCAGCAGGUCCCUCUUUUGCAACCUCCCAUUCAUUUGAUCCUCACAACUCCCUGUCCUGACCUAGGACCGGCCCGUGACCUCCCAGGGAAGCAGAGGUUACCAAGCGGCUUCUCCGAUUGGGCACCCCCCCCAUGUCAUUGUCCCCAUGACGUCUUCAGUUUUAACAGUGAACAUGUACCUGUCUCACACCUGCACCUCCUCCACCUCCACCUCGAUUCCCCCUGGACUCCUGAUUCUGCUGUCCCCGACCUGGAGCCCCACUUCCUCCUGUCCUCCUUCCUGGCCACUCCAGUGUCUGUCUUUCCUUCACAGCCCGGCUUCUCGAGGCCUGUCCACACUCGCUGCUUUCCUUCCUCACCUCCAAUCUCCCCUCCAACCCACUGCUUCCUGACUCGCUCUUCUCCAUCGAACGGCUCUCGCUCAGGCCGGUUGCAUCCUUCUUCUGCCUUUUCCUGUUGUGGUCAUGUGCCAAGAGCUCCUCCUCUCCACGGAAGACCAGCUGGAGUCACCCACCGGCCAUACUGGCUGAAGAACAGCAGGUGGAAGUGACCGAUGACCCUGAGGACCCCGAGGACCCUAAGGACCUCAAGGACCCCAAGGACCCCAUGAGGCCCAGCGCCUGGACCCAGACCUUCAGGACCUGCAUUGUGCCUCCUUCACAGAUUAGGGUGAGUCUCUUGCGUCAACAUGCACAACCUCAUUAGGAUCCACUCACAUCACCUGUCCACUCAAGAGAGAAAACAUUUACUCGGGAGGGGCAGCUUACAAAACUUCCACAUCAACCUUCGUACCUGGAGACCUGGAAACUGCCUGGAGCGGAGACCCUCACCACGCCAAGUCAGCAUGUGUGGGAGUCCAUCUUGGCUACUGGAGACCAGAGACAGUAAGUGGGAGAGUUCACAAGUAGUCUACACUCUUGGGAAUGGCCAAGGCCAGGCACACAGUAGGCACACAG